UACAGAGGGUGCGAGCGUUAAUCGGAAUUACUGGGCGUAAAGCGUGCGUAGACGGUAGCGUAAGUCAGAUGUGAAAGCCCCGGGCUCAACCUGGGAAUUGCAUUUGAGACUGCUCUGCUCGGGUGCGGAAGAGGGAAGCGGAAUUUCCGGUGUAGCGGUGAAAUGCGUAGAUAUCGUGAGGAACACCAGAGGCGAAGGCGGCUACCUGGACAAUUGCCGACGCUCAGGCACGAAAGCGUGGGGAGCAAAAGGG
Molecule: ribosomal RNA, 253 nt
Filed under: uncultured bacterium
Lineage: Bacteria
Description: partial 16S ribosomal RNA
Rfam family: Bacterial small subunit ribosomal RNA
Source: RNAcentral